CAAAUUCUGGUCAACAAAGGACUGCUCUCAAUCUGAACUGGCAAGAUAGAGGGAAGUGCUUUGAAGACUGGGAAACUCUGAAAAUCCUUUCGAAGGCAAAAUUAAUGACCUAGAGACUGCUUCUUUCAGAAAGAGGAAGGCAGACACCACAAAGGCAAAUCUUUUUAGGAGCUAAGAAGGUAAGUACAUGGGAGAUGAAAGCAAGGUGACAUGGGCA
Molecule: long non-coding RNA, 217 nt
Filed under: Neogale vison (American mink)
Lineage: Eukaryota; Metazoa; Chordata; Mammalia; Carnivora; Mustelidae
Description: Neovison vison (American mink) lncRNA (ENSNVIG00000020772.1)
Source: RNAcentral